Molecule: ribosomal RNA, 1564 nt
Filed under: Escherichia coli
Lineage: Bacteria; Pseudomonadati; Pseudomonadota; Gammaproteobacteria; Enterobacterales; Enterobacteriaceae
Description: partial 23S ribosomal RNA
Rfam family: Bacterial large subunit ribosomal RNA
Source: RNAcentral
GGGUUGUGAGGUUAAGCGACUAAGCGUACACGGUGGAUGCCCUGGCAGUCAGAGGCGAUGAAGGACGUGCUAAUCUGCGAUAAGCGUCGGUGAGGUGAUAUGAACCGUUAUAACCGGCGAUUUCCGAAUGGGGAAACCCAGUGUGUUUCGACACACUAUCAUUAACUGAAUCCAUAGGUUAAUGAGGCGAACCGGGGGAACUGAAACAUCUAAGUACCCCGAGGAAAAGAAAUCAACCGAGAUUCCCCCAGUAGCGGCGAGCGAACGGGGAGGAGCCCAGAGCCUGAAUCAGUGUGUGUGUUAGUGGAAGCGUCUGGAAAGGCGCGCGAUACAGGGUGACAGCCCCGUACACAAAAAUGCACAUAUUGUGAGCUCGAUGAGUAGGGCGGGACACGUGGUAUCCUGUCUGAAUAUGGGGGGACCAUCCUCCAAGGCUAAAUACUCCUGACUGACCGAUAGUGAACCAGUACCGUGAGGGAAAGGCGAAAAGAACCCCGGCGAGGGGAGUGAAAAAGAACCUGAAACCGUGUACGUACAAGCAGUGGGAGCCUCUUAAUGGGGUGACUGCGUACCUUUUGUAUAAUGGGUCAGCGACUUAUAUUCUGUAGCAAGGUUAACCGAAUAGGGGAGCCGAAGGGAAACCGAGUCUUAACUGGGCGUUAAGUUGCAGGGUAUAGACCCGAAACCCGGUGAUCUAGCCAUGGGCAGGUUGAAGGUUGGGUAACACUAACUGGAGGACCGAACCGACUAAUGUUGAAAAAUUAGCGGAUGACUUGUGGCUGGGGGUGAAAGGCCAAUCAAACCGGGAGAUAGCUGGUUCUCCCCGAAAGCUAUUUAGGUAGCGCCUCGUGAAUUCAUCUCCGGGGGUAGAGCACUGUUUCGGCAAGGGGGUCAUCCCGACUUACCAACCCGAUGCAAACUGCGAAUACCGGAGAAUGUUAUCACGGGAGACACACGGCGGGUGCUAACGUCCGUCGUGAAGAGGGAAACAACCCAGACCGCCAGCUAAGGUCCCAAAGUCAUGGUUAAGUGGGAAACGAUGUGGGAAGGCCCAGACAGCCAGGAUGUUGGCUUAGAAGCAGCCAUCAUUUAAAGAAAGCGUAAUAGCUCACUGGUCGAGUCGGCCUGCGCGGAAGAUGUAACGGGGCUAAACCAUGCACCGAAGCUGCGGCAGCGACACUAUGUGUUGUUGGGUAGGGGAGCGUUCUGUAAGCCUGUGAAGGUGGCCUGUGAGGGUUGCUGGAGGUAUCAGAAGUGCGAAUGCUGACAUAAGUAACGAUAAAGCGGGUGAAAAGCCCGCUCGCCGGAAGACCAAGGGUUCCUGUCCAACGUUAAUCGGGGCAGGGUGAGUCGACCCCUAAGGCGAGGCCGAAAGGCGUAGUCGAUGGGAAACAGGUUAAUAUUCCUGUACUUGGUGUUACUGCGAAGGGGGGACGGAGAAGGCUAUGUUGGCCGGGCGACGGUUGUCCCGGUUUAAGCGUGUAGGCUGGUUUUCCAGGCAAAUCCGGAAAACCAAGGCUGAGGCGUGAUGACGAGGCACUACGGUGCUGAAGCGACAAAUGCC